CUCGGCACCACUAAGAAAAAAAGACUCGUGCUCCCUCGGCCGACGCCGCCAUCGGGAGCCGGCCGGCGAGCAUCCCCAUCACAGUCCCCUCCCCUGCUCCGACGCCACGCGCGGUUGCCGGUGAGACUGGGGAUCUAGCGCCCUCACCUACAGCAGCUCUGCGCCGCUGUUGAUCGGCACCACGCACACGCAGAUCUCAUACCCCAUCUCCACCGCUUAUGGAGAUGGGGUUCGACGCCUUCGCGGCAGCGUGUUGUGCUAUUCCAGUACUCGUAUCCGUUCUCGCCGUCCGCGUCGCCUACGUGCUUUGCCGCAGCGGCCUACCGCCGUCGAGGUCUCGUGCCUCCGGGCUGCGGUGUCUCAUCGUCCUCGGGUCUGGAGGGCAUACUGCAGAGAUGAUGAAUAUUGUAACUGAGCUUCAGAAGGAUCGGUUUACGCCAAGGUACUAUGUGGCUGCACUUACUGAUAACAUGAGCCUUCCAAAGGCACAGGUCUAUGAGAAGUCACUGAUUCAUGUGGAGGGUGAUAGAGAAACGAUCAUCGAGAACGCCGAGUUCAUGCAGAUAUAUCGUAGCCGUGAAGUGGGCCAAUCCUACAUUACCGCCAUUGCAACAACACUGCGUGCUAUUUUGCAUGCUAUGUGGCUAAUAAUAAGAAUCAGACCACAAGUGAUAUUUUGCAAUGGUCCCGGGACAUGCAUCCCUCUAUGUGCUUCAGCUUUUCUUCUGAAGGUGCUUGGUCUGGGAUGGUCCUCCAUUUUCUACAUUGAAAGUAUCGCAAGAGUGAAGAAGCUUUCGUUAAGUGGUUUACUGUUGUACAAGCUACGGAUGGCCGAUCAGUUCUUCGUGCAGUGGCCCCAGCUGCAACAAAAAUACCCUAGAGCACAAUAUGCUGGUCGUUUGAUGUGACGAUUCACCCGUAAAUGAAAUUUGCGACACCAUAAUUUGCAACUCUGAAGAUCUUGAACAUGCUGAGGUGCAGUUGAUACUUGAAUUGACACACCCUACACACCUGUUUUGCCAGAAACUUUUUUACUUGUUGGUAUAGGCUUGCACCUUUCUUAUAUAUUAUAUAUAUAUAUAUAUAUAUAUAUAUAUAUAUAUACUCCUCAAAAUUGUCUUUCAAGACUUGGCUAGGGAAUAGAAUGCCCCCUCACAGAUAUACCAUGUAAGGCUGUGACUUUGCAGAGUCAAGUGUAAACCUCAUCCUGUAAGUUCCAGCCACAUUCUAUUAGUAAGUGUUGUGUCGUUUGUUACUUUUAUCAUGCCUCGUUGCUAGCCUAGCUUCAUGAUGACCUGGUCUCAAAUGUUACCAGAGGGAAAACUGCUGUUUUUCUUUUCCUUUUUUUGAUAACAGGGGAAGAAGAAUUACUGUAAUCUGAAGGAUAAUACUCCUAUUUGAUUAUCAGGAUUUCUAAAAUCAUAUUAUCGGGAAAGAAAAUGAAAUUUCCCAGGAAUACAUCGAUGGCAUACAAAAGCCCAAGUCUGCAGCGGCGAGCCACACACACGAGGCAAAAAGCCCAGGCCUGCAACGGCGACAAAGUCGAUCAUCCGCAUCGGGGACGCUCCGCGACACGAAAGGACACCGAGAUCCACGUCACCGCCUGCCCCUCUUUAUCCACCACGGAUUUUCUUAAAAAUAAACAGCGGAGAAUAAAAAAGAGGAGAGGAGAGGGGGAGAAGAACAACAACACCUCCGAUAGUCCGAUCUCACACCCACCCCCGGCCUCGCGAUCAUCCCCUCCCCCCCUUGGACAGGCCUCCCGAAUCCGGACCCCCCCAACGCGCGCAGCGGGACGAGGACCGACGGGCGGGGCACAGAGAGGCCGGGGGUGAUGAGUUGUUACGCUGCAUGGACGGAGCAAUCGAGGAGCCUCUCCACAAGGACUAUUACAAAGUUCUGGAGGUCGAUUACGAUGCAUCUGACGACAACAUCAAACUGAAUUAUAGAAGAUUAGCGUUGAAGUGGCACCCCGACAAGCAUAAGGGCGAGGAUGAUGUCACAGCUAAAUUUCAGGAGAUCAACGAGGCUUACAAAAUUUUAAGUGAUCCAGUUACACGGCUUGAGUACGACUUUUCUGGCUGUUACGAGGUCAAUCAAUAUACUGCACGUGAGUACCUUUCAAGAUUUAAGGGAAUGAUACUUACCUGCAAUGGCCUUGGCAUAGAGCAUUCUUCAAAAUGGGCGCGACAUUUGAGGGAAUGGGAGCCCCAUUGAUCAAUAGGUACAGCAUGUUUAUUCCCGAACUUGUUCAGUAGCGUCUCUGAUGGCGAUUUUUGGCAUGUAUUUUGUUCUUCUGUAACUCCGCAAUGGAACCUGUUAUGUGCCCUCGCACUUGUGCUAGAAAGAGAUACAUGUUUGCUAUUUCCAUCGGUCAUCUGGUUGUUUACUCUUUGACUUGUCACAAGCAUGGUAGUAAUAGUUCCUUUUCAGCAUAGACCACAGCUAAGAAUAAAGAGAAAUAUGUUUCUUUCAACGAAAGAGAAUAACAUAUCGUGUAUUCAAGUAUGUGUACCUGAUAGAACAACAGAAAAGGAAGUUUUUGGGUGAUUGUGCCGUCAGAAAAUCUGUGAUAAGCUAAAUGCUGAUAAAUGAGCGUUGAUCAUCAAGCUAUCCAUGAUGGUCGCCCACCAGGAAGGCAUAGAGACACCUAGAUGACACAUACGUAAGAGCAAGUACAACAGGAAUUGUACCUAGGAAGACUGAUCAUCACUCCACAGUAUGAA
Molecule: ribosomal RNA, 2726 nt
Filed under: Triticum aestivum (bread wheat)
Lineage: Eukaryota; Viridiplantae; Streptophyta; Magnoliopsida; Poales; Poaceae
Description: partial small subunit ribosomal RNA
Source: RNAcentral